RNAcentral lists this ribosomal RNA (529 nucleotides) under uncultured bacterium. RNAcentral's name for it is "bacterial SSU rRNA". It matches the Rfam family "Bacterial small subunit ribosomal RNA", at positions 980 to 1509 of the family's 1533-position model. The record is from RNAcentral.
CUUGACAUCCAGCGAACUUUCCAGAGAUGGAUUGGUGCCUUCGGGAACGCUGAGACAGGUGCUGCAUGGCUGUCGUCAGCUCGUGUUGUGAAAUGUUGGGUUAAGUCCCGCAACGAGCGCAACCCUUAUCCUUUGUUGCCAGCGAUUCGGUCGGGAACUCAAAGGAGACUGCCGGUGAUAAACCGGAGGAAGGUGGGGAUGACGUCAAGUCAUCAUGGCCCUUACGAGUAGGGCUACACACGUGCUACAAUGGCGCAUACAAAGAGAAGCGACCUCGCGAGAGCAAGCGGACCUCAUAAAGUGCGUCGUAGUCCGGAUCGGAGUCUGCAACUCGACUCCGUGAAGUCGGAAUCGCUAGUAAUCGUGGAUCAGAAUGCCACGGUGAAUACGUUCCCGGGCCUUGUACACACCGCCCGUCACACCAUGGGAGUGGGUUGCAAAAGAAGUAGGUAGCUUAACCUUCGGGAGGGCGCUUACCACUUUGUGAUUCAUGACUGGGGUGAAGUCGUAACAAGGUAAGCGUAGCGAG